CACCACAACAGGUGGAGCCUGCGGUUUAAUCGGACUCAACGCCGGGAAACUCACCAGAUAAGACAGCUGAAUGAUAGUCGGGCUGAAGACUCUACUUGACUAGCUGAGAGGAGGUGCAUGGCCGUCGUCAGUUCGUACUGUGAAGCAUCCUGUUAAAUCAGGCAACGAGCGAGACCCACGCCAACAGUUGCCAGCUCGUCCUCCGGGAUGGUGGGGACACUGUUGGGACCGCCUCUGCUAAAGAGGAGGAAGGAAUGGGCAACGGUAGGUCAGCAUGCCCCGAAUUAUCUGGGCUACACGCGGGCUACAAUGGGUGGGACAAUGGGUAUCGACACCGAAAGGUGAAGGCAAUCUCCUAAACCCAUCCGUAGUUCGGAUUGUGGGCUGCAACUCGCCCACAUGAAGCUGGAAUCUGUAGUAAUCGUGUCUCAAAAUGGCACGGUGAAUAUGUCCCUGCUCCCU
This 462-nucleotide ribosomal RNA is filed under the name uncultured Methanomicrobiales archaeon. Its description in RNAcentral is "bacterial SSU rRNA". It matches the Rfam family "Archaeal small subunit ribosomal RNA", at positions 877 to 1338 of the family's 1478-position model. Lineage: Archaea; Methanobacteriati; Methanobacteriota; Methanomicrobia; Methanomicrobiales. The record is from RNAcentral.